Molecule: transfer RNA, 69 nt
Filed under: Cavia porcellus (domestic guinea pig)
Lineage: Eukaryota; Metazoa; Chordata; Mammalia; Rodentia; Caviidae
Rfam family: tRNA
About the family: Transfer RNA (tRNA) molecules are approximately 80 nucleotides in length. Their secondary structure includes four short double-helical elements and three loops (D, anti-codon, and T loops).
Source: Rfam by way of RNAcentral
GGCAGUGUGGCUCAGUGGUAGAGUACUUGCCUAGUAUACAAGAGACCCUUGGUCCAAUCCUAAGCACCA